This 516-nucleotide ribosomal RNA is filed under the name Priestia aryabhattai. RNAcentral describes it as "bacterial SSU rRNA". It matches the Rfam family "Bacterial small subunit ribosomal RNA", at positions 29 to 525 of the family's 1533-position model. Lineage: Bacteria; Bacillati; Bacillota; Bacilli; Caryophanales; Bacillaceae. The record is from RNAcentral.
UGUGAACGCUGGCGGCGUGCCUAAUACAUGCAGUCGAGCGAACUGAUUAGAAGCUUGCUUCUAUGACGUUAGCGGCGGACGGGUGAGUAACACGUGGGCAACCUGCCUGUAAGACUGGGAUAACUUCGGGAAACCGAAGCUAAUACCGGAUAGGAUCUUCUCCUUCAUGGGAGAUGAUUGAAAGAUGGUUUCGGCUAUCACUUACAGAUGGGCCCGCGGUGCAUUAGCUAGUUGGUGAGGUAACGGCUCACCAAGGCAACGAUGCAUAGCCGACCUGAGAGGGUGAUCGGCCACACUGGGACUGAGACACGGCCCAGACUCCUACGGGAGGCAGCAGUAGGGAAUCUUCCGCAAUGGACGAAAGUCUGACGGAGCAACGCCGCGUGAGUGAUGAAGGCUUUCGGGUCGUAAAACUCUGUUGUUAGGGAAGAACAAGUAUAAGAGUAACUGCUUGUACCUUGACGGUACCUAACCAGAAAGCCACGGCUAACUACGUGCCAGCAGCCGGGAAAAAUA